GAUGAACGCUGGCGGCGUGCCUAACACAUGCAAGUCGAGCGGACGGACGGAGCUUUUUCUCCGCUUCAGCUGCGGGCGGGCGGGUGAUUCACACGAGUAUGCCCUGCCUUUGAGAAUGACAUAACUAAGCGAGACCGGAUCUCAUACACGAUCAGAUAGUGAACGGGGGGGUUCAUUGGUCAUAAACGGUUUUGCUGUGACUAAUAGGUGUUUCCAAGCUGGAUUAGCUAGGUGGUAAGGUAGAGGCUUACCAAGGCUACGAUGCGUAGCCGAUCUGAGAGGGUGAUCGGCCACACUGGAACUGAGACACGGUCCAGACUCCUACGGGAGGACGCAGUGGGGAAUCUUACGCAAUGGGCGAAAGCCUGAUGCAGCAACGCCGCGUGAGUGAUGAAGGUCCUCGGAUCGUAAAGCUCUGUUAUUAGGGAAGAACGAAUGUGUGAUUAACUAUGGCCGUCUUGACGGUACCUAAUGAGUAAGCACCGGCUAACUACGUG
Molecule: ribosomal RNA, 497 nt
Filed under: uncultured bacterium
Lineage: Bacteria
Description: partial 16S ribosomal RNA
Rfam family: Bacterial small subunit ribosomal RNA
Source: RNAcentral